UACGUAGGAUGCAAGCGCUGUCCGGAACUAUUGGGCGUAAAGCGCGCGCAGGCGGUCCUUUAAGUCUGAUGUGAAAGCCCACGGCUCAACCGUGGAGGGUCAUUGGAAACUGGGGGACUUGAGUGCAGAAGAGGAAAGCGGAAUUCCACGUGUAGCGGUGAAAUGCGUAGAGAUGUGGAGGAACACCAGUGGCGAAGGCGGUGGUCUGGGCCGGCACUGACGCUGAGGAGCGAAAGCGUGGGUAGCAAACAGG
Molecule: ribosomal RNA, 253 nt
Filed under: uncultured bacterium
Lineage: Bacteria
Description: partial 16S ribosomal RNA
Rfam family: Bacterial small subunit ribosomal RNA
Source: RNAcentral